UACGUAGGUGACGAGCGUUGUCCGGAUUUACUGGGCGUAAAGAGCGCGCAGGCGGUCGUUCAAGUCGAGUGUGAAAGCCCCCGGCUCAACUGGGGAGGGUCACUCGAUACUGAUCGACUCGAAGGCAGGAGAGGGUAGUGGAAUUCCCGGUGUAGUGGUGAAAUGCGUAGAUAUCGGGAGGAACACCAGUGGCGAAGGCGACUACCUGGCCUGUUCCUGACGCUGAGGCGCGAAAGCUAGGGGAGCAAACGGG
Molecule: ribosomal RNA, 253 nt
Filed under: uncultured bacterium
Lineage: Bacteria
Description: partial 16S ribosomal RNA
Rfam family: Bacterial small subunit ribosomal RNA
Source: RNAcentral